CCUGUAAGCGGGGAAUAACCCGUUGAAAGACGGACUAAUACCGCAUAAUACUAAAGUUACUGCAUGGUAAUUUAUUUAAACAUUUAUGGCUUACAGAUGGGCAUGCGCAUGAUUAGCUAGUUGGAGAGGUAACGGCUCCCCAAGGCAACGAUCAUUAGGGGUUCUGAGAGGAAGGCCCCCCACACUGGUACUGAGACACGGACCAGACUCCUACGGGAGGCAGCAGUGAGGAAUAUUGGUCAAUGGACGAGAGUCUGAACCAGCCAAGUCGCGUGCAGGAAGAAUGUUACCCUAUGGAUUGUAAACUGUCUUUUGCGAAGGGGAAUAAAGUGCAUCACGUGUGAUGUUUUGUAUGUACUCUGCGAAUAAGGAUCGGCUAACUCCGUGCCAGCCGCCGC
This 398-nucleotide ribosomal RNA is filed under the name uncultured bacterium. RNAcentral describes it as "bacterial SSU rRNA". It matches the Rfam family "Bacterial small subunit ribosomal RNA", at positions 129 to 518 of the family's 1533-position model. The record is from RNAcentral.